ACGGAAUAGAUACCCUGGUAGUCCACGCCCUAAACGAUGUCUACUAGUUGUUGGUGGAGUAAAAUCCAUGAGUAAACGCAGCUAAACGCGUGAAGUAGACCGCCUGGGGAGUACGGUCGCAAGAUUAAAACUCAAAUGAAUUGACGGGGGCCCGCACAAGCGGUGGAUUAUGUGGAUCAAUUCGAUGCAACGCGAAAACCUUACCUGGCCUUGACAUGUAACGAACUUUCCAGAGAUGGAUUGGUGCUCGAAAGAGAACGUUAACACAGGUGCUGCAUGGCUGUCGUCAGCUCGUGUCGUGAGAUGUUGGGUUAAGUCCCGCAACGAGCGCAACCCUUGCCAUUAAUUGCCAUCAUUUAGUUGGGCACUUUAAUGGGACUGCCGGUGACAACCGGAGGAAGGUGGGGAUGACGUCAAGUCCUCAUGGCCCUUAUGGCCAGGGCUUCACAC
RNAcentral lists this ribosomal RNA (450 nucleotides) under uncultured bacterium. RNAcentral describes it as "bacterial SSU rRNA". It matches the Rfam family "Bacterial small subunit ribosomal RNA", at positions 772 to 1221 of the family's 1533-position model. The record is from RNAcentral.